GGCGUGUGCAGAGUCCGCUCAGGUCUGAAGUUCUGCAGCCGGAAACAUCUGCAGCGGUACUGCUGACUCAGCUGACAGGAAGAGAUCAGACACACAUCACCUGGACAGACACUGAGCAGCAGGUGGAGCCAGAUCUCAGUGAAGCCUCUGUGAACCUCCCUGUGUGGAGCCUCUGGGUUUGUUGACUCUGGGUCAACUCUCAGUGAGGAGGACAAAGUCUGAUCUGGAUCACACAGUCCUCAGGCUCUCUGGUCUCCAACAAACACAACUAAACUAAAAACAUUCAACAGAUUCAGAGAAGAUGAAACGAGUCGACAUGUGGAGAGAAACAAACUCAGAGUAAAGUCCGACUCUGAGUCUCCUCUGAUGUUCUGACUCUGUUUGACUGUGACACUGAAGGAAAGUGAGAACAGGAGGAUUCUGAAUGAAGCUCUGCAGCCUCUGUUUCCUCUGAGCUUUUAUUCUGAAAGCAUGUCUCUGUCACUGAUCAGUUUCCAUGGCGACCACAAACGCCAACGCUCUGUCCUCCACGCCGAUCAUCUUGUGAUUAAACACCAGCAGCCACGGAUCAGAGCAGAGACUGGAAGUGGAAUAUGAUUGGUCGGUUCAGGGACAGGAAGUGGAAAUGACUGGUCAGCCGAGGUCAUUUCCACCCGCUGCUGAAGAGAGCUGCAGGUCUGAAGGAGGAGAGGAACAUCCUGGACUCGUCUGACCUCUGACCGCCGAGGCUUUUAUUUUGAAAAUCCUCCAUCACACUGACUUUUAUUGUUAAGGUUCUGUCAGUGAUGAGAAUCACAGUCCUCAGCUCUUCUCUCAGACAGGAAAUGUCAGCAGCAGAUUAAAAUGACAAGUCGCAGCAGAACCGUCCGUCCUCUGUUACACAACAGCAGAGGUCAGAGGUCACGGAGGCCCAGCGGGACAGCGAACGCCUCACGACUGAAAAACACCAGAUGGAGCAGAAAGAAACACAUUCAUCAACGUUUUCACUGUUUCAGCUGAAACUGCAGCGACAGUGACACUGAGUGGGGUCUCCUGGGCACAGCAGCAGGGGCCGCAGGGGUCAGGGGUCAGAGGUCGGGGGGUGUGGGGGUCGGUACAGUGUGCUGUAGUUUAAUAUCUGUACAGUGUCAGUGAAGGUCAACAGGAAGCUUCAGACACGAGUCAGCAAAACAUAACACACACACACACACACACACACACACACACCACACAGACACACACACACACACAGACACACACACACACACACAGACACACACAUACGCUCAGCUCCCUGUUGUUUUGUUCAGCAGUGGUGGUCACGGUGGUGGGAUUGGUCUAAUUCCUGGCUCAGUGUCAGUCCGAGCCGAACAGAUGAAUUAAACGUCCCGGAGCUUUUUUGUCCUGGACAGUCGACACAAAGCUCAUUGGCUCGUUCAGCCCGUCGUCAUGGAAACGGGAAGGUUGGAGACGAGAGGUGUGAACGUUUCCAGUUUCACAGAGUCUCUGUCUCAGUCUGAAUAAAUUCAGGUUAUUUACUGAGCAGAAACAUUAAAAACACAAGGAUCAAUCAUCAGUUUGACUUUUUUAAAACAUAAAAACAUCAUCAGAUUAAUGUCAUUUAUUCAGUUUAUUUACUGAAUCAUCAGGAUUUAUUCUGCUGCAGGUUUAGGACUCUGUACAGUGUAUAUGUGUUGUAUAGAUGUUGUAUAAUCACUUCUUACUUUAUUUAAUUUAAUGUUAUAAUUGUCACUUUUCUUUAAAAGCCUCUGAUAAUAGUUUUCAUUCUGUUGGUGUGUCACAUUCAUCUCUGUGUUUGACACAAGUUGAAUAAAGUUUUAUCUAUUUACAAUAAUAUGAGGUUGGAAUGGAAAUCUGCUUUUCUUCUACUAAUUCUGAUGAUCCCAGGAGUCCCCCACACCGCCCACCCCCCGGGCCUGAGGCCAUAGAAACCUGAUGAGACCAGAGGAAAACAGCCUCAGUGUUGUAAUCUGUAAGUGUGUGUGUGUGUGUGUGUGUGUGUGUGUGUGGAUGGUGGAUGGGUGGGGGGGGUUCAGUCUUUUAUACCGACAGGAAAUGAGAUGAAAAUAAAGUUUCUGUGGAUUCACAGAGAUUUGAUUUAAGGUGGAAGUUUCUGUUGAGAAACAAAGCGUCUGUGCAUUCACAGAGUUUUCAGGUUGGAUAGUCUGAGCAGUGGCGUGGGCGUCUCCAUGGCGACAGCUGAGACGUUUUGAAGACUUCCAGUAAAAACACAGAGAGUGAAAGAAAAAGAGGAACGCUGCUGAUUCACAGAAAAUUCCCAGAAAAUUCCCAGGACAUCAGAUCAUGUUCCAGGCUCAGAGGUGAAGAAAUAAAUAUGUUUAAUAAAAGCACAGGGUGAUAAACUGUACAUAUAUACACACAGAACAGGAAGCAGUACCACACUGAACCUUCACCUCCUCUGACAGGUCAAAGGUCAAAGGUCAGAGGUCACAGGAAGCUGAAGCAAAGCUUUAACUCAGAGCAAUGUCUCAGUUUCAGAGUGAAUCUUCAGGUUAAAGGGACAGUUCACAAAGUUACUGAUUGUGUUUCCAGCUCCUGACUCUGACCCAAGGUCUUCAUCAGGUCUUAUCGUUGUCUGUGUGACAGACAGUCACACUCACCAAUCACAAGAGGCCUGAGUCAAAGCAACUGUGGAAACGCCC
Long non-coding RNA from Lates calcarifer (barramundi perch), 2663 nucleotides. RefSeq lists it as uncharacterized. The transcript has 2 exons. The record is from RefSeq and is a predicted model, not a curated record. Lineage: Eukaryota; Metazoa; Chordata; Actinopteri; Centropomidae.